GUGGGGAAUAUUGGGCAAUGGGGGCAACCCUGACCCAGCGACGCCGCGUGAGGGAAGAAGGCCUUAGGGUCGUAAACCUCUGUUGUGUGGGAAGAAGGAAGUGACGGUACCACACGAGGAAGUCCCGGCUAACUACGUGCCAGCAGCCGCGGUAAUACGUAGGGGACGAGCGUUGUCCGGAAUUACUGGGCGUAAAGGGCGCGUAGGCGGUCAUUUAAGUCAGCUGUGAAAUGGUCCGGCUCAACCGGAUCAUGCGGUUGAAACUGGAUGACUGGAGUGCUGGAGAGGCAAGGGGAAUUCCCAGUGUAGCGGUGAAAUGCGUAGAUAUUGGGAAGAACACCGGUGGCGAAGGCGACUUGCUGGCCAGCAACUGACGCUGAGGCGCGAAAGCCAGGGGAGCAAACGGGAUUAGAAACCCCUGUAGUCC
Molecule: ribosomal RNA, 427 nt
Filed under: uncultured bacterium
Lineage: Bacteria
Description: partial 16S ribosomal RNA
Rfam family: Bacterial small subunit ribosomal RNA
Source: RNAcentral